AUUGAACGCUGGCGGAAUGCUUUACACAUGCAAGUCGAACGGCAGCACGGGGGCAACCCUGGUGGCGAGUGGCGAACGGGUGAGUAACACAUCGGAACGUGCCCAGUCGUGGGGGAUAACGUAGCGAAAGCUACGCUAAUACCGCAUACGAACUCUGGUUGAAAGCGGGGGACUCGCAAGGGCCUCGCGCGAUUGGAGCGGCCGAUGGCAGAUUAGGUAGUUGGUGGGGUAAAGGCCACCAAGCCGACGAUCUGUAGCUGGUCUGAGAGGACGACCAGCCACACUGGGACUGAGACACGGCCCAGACUCCUACGGGAGGCAGCAGUGGGGAAUUUUGGACAAUGGGCGCAAGCCUGAUCCAGCCAUUCCGCGUGC
RNAcentral lists this ribosomal RNA (375 nucleotides) under uncultured bacterium. RNAcentral's name for it is "bacterial SSU rRNA". It matches the Rfam family "Bacterial small subunit ribosomal RNA", at positions 29 to 404 of the family's 1533-position model. The record is from RNAcentral.